RNAcentral lists this ribosomal RNA (457 nucleotides) under uncultured bacterium. RNAcentral describes it as "partial 16S ribosomal RNA". It matches the Rfam family "Bacterial small subunit ribosomal RNA", at positions 338 to 795 of the family's 1533-position model. The record is from RNAcentral.
CCUACGGGGGGCAGCAGUGAGGAAUAUUGGUCAAUGGCCGGAAGGCUGAACCAGCCAAGCCGCGUGAAGGACGAAGGUGCCAAGCAUUGUAAACUUCUUUUGUCAAGGGACAAAAUCAGGCUCGAGAGCCUGACCGAGGGUACUUGAAGAAAAAGCAUCGGCUAACUCCGUGCCAGCAGCCGCGGUAAUACGGAGGAUGCGAGCGUUAUCCGGAUCUAUUGGGUUUAAAGGGUGCGCAGGCGGGCUGUUAAGCCGGCGGUAAAAAUUCAGGGCUCAACCCUGUCGAGCCGUCGGAACUGGCAGUCUUGAGUGGGCGAGAAGUAUGCGGAAUGCGUGGUGUAGCGGUGAAAUGCAUAGAUAUCACGCAGAACGCCGAUUGCGAAGGCAGCAUACCGGCGCCCAACUGACGCUGAGGCACGAAAGCGUGGGGAUCGAACAGGAUUAGAUACCUGUAGUC